UAUUCGCCAGGGGAAUACAUUUGCUUACAGUUGGCAACAAACAUUUCAAAAAUUUCCCUCAGGGCAGCAAAUUUGUCAUUAUCUCUUCUGAUCUGUCUAGUAAGGACAUUGUCAAAUCGAAUUACUCGCAAAAGGAACAAAAAUCGUUCGUAGGCCAUUGCUGCUCUGCAUAUUUCUAUACCAGUGCCAUUUGCAUUCCAAAUUUCUUUGAAAUGCAAAUGCGAUGCACGAUUUUUUCCGAUUAUUAUUAUGAGUCCGAGCAGACAACGGAUUUCAUUUUCAUCUGUAUUGCGGCAAUCUCUCUCCCUGCUAUAAUUUGGCCUGAUGGUCUCAAUAAAAAUAUUUGUGUAUUCAACUAUUUUUUUGAUUAUGUCAAUACUAAUAAAUUUCAAAAAAGCUUCUAAUGGAGUUGGAGUGUUCUUACCAAAUUGUUUAGAACAAGGUAAGUGUGUAAUAAUAUUUAUAGCUCUUGUACGUACCCUUGAUGUUCUCCAUUCUUCCUUUUUCCAUUUGGUCAUUUUAUCUCUUCCAAAGAAGUACGUAGAAUCCUGAUGUGGUUCUUGUUCAUCGUCUUCUUCUUGUUCUGAAUCUGAGCUAUGGGGGAUAUAUUCUUCAUCAUCACUAAAGUUAUCAUCAUCUAGCUCAUCAAAAUCUUCUUCUUCCUCAUCAAACAAGCUAAAAAGUGAUUGAAUAUUUUUGCUAUCCAUUAUAAUAUUGGAUCAAAGUAAGCUUAGAUGAUGGGCAAAGUGAAACUAAAUUGACACUGAAAGGUAGGGGAAAUGACUCAUGGUGCGUGAGAAUUCAGCAGUAUCAUAUUCGGGCUGAUUACAAAACUUUGUUACGUAAGUACUCGCGCAGGUGUGACACACCCCAUUCUAGCAAAAAGAAUAAAUUACAAAUAUAUUCCCUCUAUUAAUUUUGUUGAAAUUUGACAUGUCUAUUUGGCACAUUGAAAUAUUAAGCUAUUGAAAAAUUGGAAGAUUUUGGUUAAGGAUUUAAUGAUUUUCUUGAGGUAAAGUGAUAGCUUGGGGUGUGAUACACCCCGCGCGAGUACUUAAGGGUUAAAGGUGAUUGGCUGUUAAUUCGUCAUGCUAAAAGGUGAUUUGCUCAGUACCUCCAUUGUCGCCAUGAUUGCAAUCUUUCAGGAAGAAGAAGGCUGUCGAGCUUUGAACAAAGAAUUUGAAUCACUGGACGGCGUAACCAGCAUAGAAUAAAGUAAAACUAUUGCAACUCAUUGAUUGUUGGGAAGAAAGAAAAAUUUAUUAUAAUUAAUACAAAAAUUAUAGGUAAAGAAUUAUUUCAAAAGAGAUAUAGAGUUUUGGGUCUCAAGACGCGAGCACGCGACGACAACUUGAGAACAAAGAGAGGGGGGCGAGGGGGGGCCGGAAGUUGCAUCAUGGGCGUGACAUCACCCCUGCAUGGGUGGUGGCUGGCCCGCGCCGCGCGGGGGGAGGGGGGCAUCUUCUUCCGCGGCUUUCUUACAUUUUGAAGGCUCCCAUCUCAAUAUCUCCAAAUAAAAUGAGAAUUAAAACACACACAAAAAAAGGCAGUGGAUCUGCAACAAAGGCCUUUGAACUUUGGAUGAUGCAAUUCUGUACUUUGUGUCUUUCCCAUCUCGCGAGGCCUAACUUUUAUUAAACCUUUAGACGAUACAUUAUACAUAGAUUGUGGUGAGGUUACAUAUAAUCCUGUAUACAGAUUAUCACAUAUACAUACAAUAUGCCAUGAAUUCAAACAUUGGUGCUACCCGAGUUGGGACUUGCAUCUUGUAUAGGAAUCUUUAUUGGAGCUGCUGCCACAACCUGUGGCGUCUGCUCGCUAGAAGGGCCAUCUUCCACGACCACCAGCUUUGGGCCGCUGCGUCUGCUGCUUCCUCUUGUUGAAUUGAGGGGCGGCAGGGUAGGGAUGGAUGCUGUAAGAAUUAGGUUCUUUGGAGGAUAUUACCUGGUGGACAUCCUCAGCAGCACUCUGUGGUGGAAUCUUUGCCAAUUUUUUAGUUAAGCUGUUAGUCACCAUUUGAGCUUCUUGUUGAAAAGGAAUGGAGGUUGCUUGCAGGGGUGUGACAUGGUGUCAGAGUAUGUGAUAUGGACUCCUUAUAGUUUGGAGCGGCCAAAACUGUCUCAGUCGGCCUUGCAGGAGAAGUUGGAACAUGGGUUGGGGUAGCCAAGUGCCCUGGCUGUGGAGCGUCUUUCCUUGGUAUUUAUAUUUCUGCCCCUAUUGUUUGUUCUAAUCUUUUGGGCCUGUUUCCACAGCUAUGCACCCAUAGUGGUGUCUGGGGCUUUUGCAGAUCUUUGAAAGUUUGAGGCACUGGCAUUUAUUACCUGGAGGGGGACAAGCCUUGUUACGUGUUGCACAAGGUGAUGCAGCAACCUGGCUGUUAUUACCUGUAGAUGAACAAACUUGUCAUGUGAUGCACCAUGCAGUGUAACUGGUGUGCAAACAGAGCCCUGAGUGUGUAGCAGCCUGGUGAUGUCAGGAAUGUCUUUGGGUCACAUUCACUAUGAUAUUGUUGACAUUGUGCACUGACUCAAAUCUCGGGAAUCCCCUUUUGGUAACUAGUUCGUGUUUCCUUUGCACAAUAUAGGGACUUCCAGUACCACCCUAGGGACUUUCAACCUCCUUGUUCCAUUUCAUCCAGAGAGAUGCGGAAUAUCUUUCACACAUUGGUAUAUAUCAACAUUUUUGCUUUAUGCAUUUUGUCUUUUUUUUUUUUUUUUUAAUAUUUUGGGCAGGUGAAAAGGGUUCCACAGGGGAAGAACGAACACACCUGGAUGGGGUUGAAAAGGACCUUGCGAUUGGGAGAUUGUUUGACAGAGGUAGCUGGCCUUUCACAUGAUGGAGCGUACACUACCUAGGUUGGAGCCUAUGUAGAGCACACCUAGCUCAUAUCACGGUCACCUACCUUCUUUCUGUUUCUUGUCCGAGAUAAUUGUCAUCGGUUCUCUCGACUUCUCAUUUGUUGAGAUCCUUCCACGUGCUCUCUGAUGAUUCGCUAUUAAUUUGUCAUGCUUAAAGGUGAUUUGCUCAGUACCUCCAUUGUCGCCAUGAUUGCAAUCUUUCAGGAAGAAGAAGGCUGUCGAGCUUUGAACAAAGAAUUCGAAUCACUGGACGGCGUAACCAGCAUAGAAUAAAGUAAAACUAUUGCAACUCAUUGAUUGUUGGGAAGAAAGAAAAAUUUAUUAUAAUUAAUACAAAAAUUAUAGGUAAAGAAUUAUUUCAAAAGAGAUAUAGAGUUUUGGGUCUCAAGACGCGAGCACGCGACGACAACUUGAGAACAAAGAGAGGGGGGCGAGGGGGGGCCGGAAGUUGCAUCAUGGGCGUGACAUCACCCCUGCAUGGGUGGUGGCUGGCCCGCGCGGGGGGAGGGGGGCAUCUUCUUCCGCGGCUUUCUUACAUUUUGAAGGCCCCCAUCUCAAUAUCUCCAAAUAAAAUGAGAAUUAAAACACACACAAAAAAAGGCAGUGGAUCUGCAACAAAGGCCUUUGAACUUUGGAUGAUGCAAUUCUGUACUUUGUGUCUUUCCCAUCUCGCGAGGCCUAACUUUUAUUAAACCUUUAGACGAUACAUUAUACAUAGAUUGUGGUGAGGUUACAUAAUCCUGUAUACAGAUUAUCACAUAUACAUACAAUAUGCCAUGAAUUCAAACAUUGGUGCUACCCGAGUUGGGACUUGCAUCUUGUAUAGGAAUCUUUAUUGGAGCUGCUGCCACAACCUGUGGCGUCUGCUCGCUAGAAGGGCCAUCUUCCACGACCACCAGCUUUGGGCCGCUGCGUCUGCUGCUUCCUCUUGUUGAAUUGAGGGGCGGCAGGGUAGGGAUGGAUGCUGUAAGAAUUAGGUUCUUUGGAGGAUAUUACCUGGUGGACAUCCUCAGCAGCACUCUGUGGUGGAAUUUUUGCCAAUUUUUUAGUUAAGCUGUUAGUCACCAUUUGAGCUUCUUGUUGAAAAGGAAUGGAGGUUGCUUGCAGGGGUGUGACAUGGUGUCAGAGUAUGUGAUAUGGACUCCUUAUAGUUUGGAGCGGCCAAAACUGUCUCAGUCGGCCUUGCAGGAGAAGUUGGAACAUGGGUUGGGGUAGCCUAGUGCCCCGGCUGUGAGGUCUCUUUCCUGAGUAUUUUUAUUCCUGCCUUGUUCUAAUCUUUUGUGUCUGUUUCCACAGCUAUGCACCCAUAGUGGUGUCUGGGGCUUUUGCAGAUCUUUGAAAGUUUGAGGCACUGGCAUUUAUUACGUGGAGGGGGACAAGCCUUGUUACGUGUUGCACAAGGUGAUGCAGCAACCUGGCUGUUAUUACCUGUAGAUGAACAAACUUGUCACGUGAUGCACCAUGCAGUGUAACUGGUGUGCAAACAGAGCCCUGAGUGUGUAGCAGCCUGGUGAUGUCAGGAAUGUCUUUGGGUCACAUUCACUAUGAUAUUGUUGAUAUGGUGCACUGACUCAAAUCUGGAGAAUCCCCUUUUGGUAUCUAGUUCGUGUUUCUCCUUUGGACAAUAUAGGGACUUCCAGUACCACCCCAGGGACUUUCAACCUCCUUGUUCCAUUUCAUCCAGAGAGAUGCGGAAUAUCUUUCACACAUUGGUAUAUAUCAACAUUUUUGUUUUAUGUAUUUGGUGGAAUUAAUCUUGCCUUCGCCCGCACAAGUCUCAGUGGAGACUUUUCCGGGCACACUAUAUCUAAAACACAAGCCGUGUCGGUGGACGCCAAGGCGUAGGUGAAGUGGAGCCGGUGUAGCUCUGUGUAGUCGUUUGUUAGGCCAGAUUUUUCGCCCAGGGAUUUGUUCUUUGGAGUAUGGUGGCCGAGAUUUGUAGUUCUAGAACUUCAAUGCAUGAAGUCUAGCAGUGGGACAGGCAGAGGAGCGGGCUUCGUGGUUGGCAGGGAUUCCUUUGGGGUGGCAUUAGGUGCAUCUUGCUGUGCCAGGGGAGGAUUUUGUGGGGCAUGAGUUGCCUUCGUGUCCAGUUUUGCUACAAUGGUAGCAAAUGGGUUCAGCAGAGGUGCAUCUGUUUGAGUUGUGUCCGAAUCCGCAGCAUCGGAAGCAUCUUCUGAUUCUGAUGGACUCUUCGAAGUGGUGGAUGACGCCUUCUAAGAUGAGUCUUCCUUUUUGGCCUAGAGCCUUGAAGGAGGCCCGGUCAAGUUCCAAAAACACGGUGCUUGUUCCAGAUCUUAGUGCUGAACGGUGAGCCACUCUGAUGAUCUUGUCACCUUGGAUGGCUGCGAUGCCGGGGAUUGCCUUGGCGGAUUCUAUGAUUGAAGGGUCAGAUGUUUCACUGUCGACUCUGAAGAUGCAGACCCUGGGGAGGAGUUCCCGAGUUUCACGGAUCUUUAGGUUGUCUGCAAGUUUUUUGGACAGGGCGGAGCUGAGGUCGGGUAUAAUUUCUGGGUUGGCAGAGUGAAGGACUAAUUUUCCCCUGGUCCUAAGUGAAGCCCAGACUGUGUUCUCGGGGAUUUUGUGGGUGGCGCGGAUGGUCUUGAGGAUUUCCCUUGGGUUGGUAUUUGGGUCGGUUGCUUCAAUGACAACUUUGGAUGCGGAAGAUCGAAGGUGGUCCUGAGUCUUCUUGUUGGUGGAGGACGAGGGUUUGGGAUUGGUAGAAGGCUUGGUGGUUGGUUUAGGUGCCGCUGUUUUGGGGAUGGUUUGUGUAGAGAGGGUGGCCCUUGGGAGUAUCGGUUUGGGGGUUUGGGUGGAAGCAGUGAUGGUUGGAGGGCGGGCAGUAGAAGCCUCAAGGGAUGUAAGCUUCUCCAAGAGUUGGUCGCGUUCGGCAGUCAUGGCUUCCAGUGUUUGGUCUUAUCUUUUUGAGAUUUUUUGAGGUCUGGAAUUUUAAGCUGCAGCUGAAUAGAUUCCAAGACAAGCAAAAUUUAACUUUGUUGUCGAACUAGGAUAUUAGUAGAUUUAACAAACAGGUCUUGAAUGAAAGCCAGCCCACAAGUUGCUUGUGCAGUGAUGAGUUGCUAUCAUGUUUACUCACCCUUGUU
This 5959-nucleotide non-coding RNA is filed under the name Cordylochernes scorpioides. The record is from RNAcentral. Lineage: Eukaryota; Metazoa; Arthropoda; Arachnida; Pseudoscorpiones; Chernetidae.